CCUACGGGUGGCAGCAGUGGGGAAUAUUGGGCAAUGGGCGCAAGCCUGACCCAGCAACGCCGCGUGAAGGAAGAAGGCUUUCGGGUUGUAAACUUCUUUUUAGAGGGAAGAGCAGAAGACGGUACCUCUUGAAUAAGCCACGGCUAACUACGUGCCAGCAGCCGCGGUCAUACGUAGGUGGCAAGCGUUGUCCGGAUUUACUGGGUGUAAAGGGCGUGCAGCCGGGAAGACAAGUCAGAUGUGAAAUCCCGCGGCUCAAACGCGGAACUGCAUUUGAAACUGUUUUUCUUGAGUACCGGAGAGGUAAUCGGAAUUCCUUGUGUAGCGGUGAAAUGCGUAGAUAUAAGGAAGAACACCGAUGGCGAAGGCAGAUGACUGGACGGCAACUGACGGUGAGGCGCGAAAGCGUGGGGAGCAAACAGGAUUAGAUACCCGAGUAGUC
RNAcentral lists this ribosomal RNA (442 nucleotides) under uncultured bacterium. Its description in RNAcentral is "partial 16S ribosomal RNA". It matches the Rfam family "Bacterial small subunit ribosomal RNA", at positions 338 to 795 of the family's 1533-position model. The record is from RNAcentral.